Molecule: ribosomal RNA, 305 nt
Filed under: uncultured bacterium
Lineage: Bacteria
Description: bacterial SSU rRNA
Rfam family: Bacterial small subunit ribosomal RNA
Source: RNAcentral
UGCGUUCUACGGGGGGCAGCAGUGGGGAAUAUUGCACAAUGGGGGAAACCCUGAUGCAGCGACGCCGCGUGAGGGAAGAAGUAAUUCGUUAUGUAAAGCUCUAUCAGCAGGGAAGAAAAUGACGGUACCUGAGUAAGAAGCCCCGGCUAACUACGUGCCAGCAGCCGCGGUAAUACGUAGGGGGCAAGCGUUAUCCGGAUUUACUGGGUGUAAAGGGAGCGUAGACGGCAGUGCAAGUCUGGAGUGAAAGGCGGGGGCUCAACCCCAGGACUGCUCUGGAAACUGUACGGCUGGAGUGAAGGAGG